GUGAUGAUCGAAGAAGAUCAUUGUGAAAGUUUUGGGGGUGCCCAAGGAUCUAUCUAGAUUGUAUCUAACACCUAGAGGGGGGAAUAGGUGUAAUAGUCAAAAACCACAAAUCUCAAUGUGAUAAAAAUAGAUGCGGAAAAUAAAAAUCACACCGAGAUUUACAUGAAAAAAUUUCAACUUGGAGAAAAACCCACGGGACCAACACGCGAAAAUAAUCCACUAAGAAUAAAAGAUUACAAGGUGAUUUACCGAAUGCACGGACUCAAACCUCUUCUAUCUUCUCCGGAUCUCGCGCACACUAACGGGUUGUCCACGCCCCACGUUCGACUCCACGAACGCCACGAUCUGAAUCCACGAAACGCCUCCACUCCGAAUCCACGAAGCUCACAAUCCGAAUCCACGAACCGUCGUCAAUCACGCCGAAUCCACGACGUCGUCAUGAAGAACAUU
RNAcentral lists this long non-coding RNA (450 nucleotides) under Ananas comosus (pineapple). Its description in RNAcentral is "long non-coding RNA (ACOM_LNC009997)". The record is from RNAcentral. Lineage: Eukaryota; Viridiplantae; Streptophyta; Magnoliopsida; Poales; Bromeliaceae.